This 497-nucleotide ribosomal RNA is filed under the name uncultured bacterium. RNAcentral's name for it is "partial 16S ribosomal RNA". It matches the Rfam family "Bacterial small subunit ribosomal RNA", at positions 28 to 507 of the family's 1533-position model. The record is from RNAcentral.
GAUGAACGCUGGCGGCGUGCCUAAUACAUGCAAGUCGAGCGAACGGACGAGAAGCUUGCUCUUCUGAUGUUAGCGGCGGACGGGUGAGUAACACGUGGAUAACCUACCUAUAAGACUGGGAUAACUUCGGGAAACCGGAGCUAAUACCGGAUAAUAUUUUGAACCGCAUGGUUCAAUAGUGAAAGACGGUCUUGCUGUCACUUAUAGAUGGAUCCGCGCUGCAUUAGCUAGUUGGUAAGGUAACGGCUUACCAAGGCAACGAUGCGUAGCCGACCUGAGAGGGUGAUCGGCCACACUGGAACUGAGACACGGUCCAGACUCCUACGGGAGGCAGCAGUAGGGAAUCUUCCGCAAUGGGCGAAAGCCUGACGGAGCAACGCCGCGUGAGUGAUGAAGGUCUUCGGAUCGUAAAACUCUGUUAUUAGGGAAGAACAAAUGUGUAAGUAACUGUGCACGUCUUGACGGUACCUAAUCAGAAAGCCACGGCUAACUACGUG